UGACGGACUUAGCUCUGCCCUCCUCUGAGGGUCCUGGUUCUUUUCUGAAGAAUACAGGAAGAUCUUUAGACCGGUCACUCUUCAUAGACAGACAGUCGGACAUAUCAGACUUUUGGUCUGCCCUCCUCUUCCUCGACACCAUCUUCUCGAUCUUCUGUUGUGUAAAUUUAUGGAAGAUGAAACCGAGUUCUACAACCUGAGGACAAAGUAGACAAACAGGUGAGACACAAACAGGAAGUGAGAGUUUCGAAAUAAAAGAGGAAUCAGAAAGGAAGUACAGAGUCUGAAAACAGCUUCAUCCCCCUCUAUAAGAGUUAUACAGGUUUAAUCAUAGAUAUAUGUAUAUAAACCUUUCUUAUAUAUGUCUAUGGGUUUAAUAUCAAGACCUUCUGAUGUCUCCCCACCCUGCAGGGCCUCUCUCUGAUCCUGGUCUGAUUCAUGGUUAAACAAAAUCAGCUGUGAGGUCCCUGAACUCUCAUAAAAACUUAAGGAACUGGAUUACAUUUGAAAUGAGAGGCUAAAAAGAUUCUGAUUUUAGUUUUUACCACAAAGACAAGUCUGAACAAAGAGGAGGAGGAACUGCACGUUCACAGUUUCUGUAUGAAGAACUGAUCCAGCUCUUUGUCUGCUCAGGUUUCUUUGUUUUACAGUUUUAAAGUGUUUUAGUCAGUAAAUCAUUUUUCAUUAACGGAUAAAACAGAUAAAGAGUUUGACAUUAAAACUAAAACAGAGUAAACUCUCACCCUGUCUCUUCGUCCUCUCCUCUCUUCGUUUUUCAAAAUGGAGUCUGUUUGUUUAACUAACAUACUUUCACUUUCACUCUGACUGUUUUCCCUGAAACCUGAACCACCAGAUCACAGAUUCUUCUCCUCAUUUACUGACAGUUUUUCAUCAUCUUUAAAAUUCAGUAUUCUUGACAACCAUCUUCCUCUCCCGAGUCCAAAUUAAAAAAAGUUCACUAAAACAGGAACUUGCUUGUUUGGUUGAGUCUCAGUUUAUUGUUAAUGCAGCAGCUCCACCUGCUGGUCAAACCAACAAACUACCAGAUGAGCACUCCUCUUCUCAUCCCCCAAUAAAUGUUAAGAUUUGGUUGAACAGGUUUUUAUUUUUGCAAACGUGUUUCACUCUGCUUACGGCCACUCUCUGGUGGCGAAAACGGUUUAUUUUCGUUUCUUGUAAGACAUAAAUUAACUCAGAGUGCGAUGGAGUUUGGCAGCAACAAACUGACAGCUUUUCUUGUCCAUUUUCAGCUCAGAAACCGGAACAUAAAGUUCAGCUGACGUUCAG
This is a non-coding RNA of Xyrichtys novacula (pearly razorfish), 1287 nucleotides long. NCBI's taxonomy places the organism in Eukaryota, Metazoa, Chordata, Actinopteri, Labriformes, Labridae. The record is from the annotation of a GenBank genome assembly.